AAAGUCGUAACAAGGUUUCCGUAGGUGAACCUGCGGAAGGAUCAUUAUCCAUCUCAACCAGGUGCGGUCGCGGCCCUCGGGGGUUCUCUCCCGGGUGGUAGGGGUAACACCCUCACGCGCCGUAUUUCUGAACCCUUUUUUUACGAGCACCUUUCGUUCUCCUUCGGCAGGGCAGCCUGCCGUUGGAACCUAACAAAACCUUUUUUGCAUCUAGCAUUACCUGUUCUGAUACAAACAAUCGUUACAACUUUCAACAAUGGAUCUCUUGGCUCUG
Molecule: unclassified non-coding RNA, 274 nt
Filed under: Ascomycota sp.
Lineage: Eukaryota; Fungi; Ascomycota
Description: partial contains small subunit ribosomal RNA, internal transcribed spacer 1, and 5.8S ribosomal RNA
Rfam family: Eukaryotic small subunit ribosomal RNA (bases 1-47)
Source: RNAcentral